AGGAUGUGCUAAUUGGAAUGAGUUAUAUUUUGGGAGCAUAACAGACAGUACCACUGACCCUGUACUCCCAGCUGAGCAGUAAAGAGCCUCAUUGAAGAUCCAGAACUUGAGACUUUAUUUUGAGUAACUGUUAGCUAAUGUAAACUCAAAAGUACAUUUAUGUCUUUACUUUUAGAAUUUGAUGCUCCACGUAAUCUA
Long non-coding RNA from Neltuma alba, 198 nucleotides. RefSeq lists it as uncharacterized. The record is from RefSeq and is a predicted model, not a curated record. The transcript is spliced from 2 exons. NCBI's taxonomy places the organism in Eukaryota, Viridiplantae, Streptophyta, Magnoliopsida, Fabales, Fabaceae.